GACGAACGCUGGCGGCGUGCUUAACACAUGCAAGUCGAACGGAAAGGCCUCUUUCGGGGGGUACUCGAGUGGCGAACGGGUGAGUAACACGUGAGUAACCUGCCCUUGACUUUGGGAUAACUUCAGGAAACUGGGGCUAAUACCGGAUAGGAGCUCCUGCUGCAUGGUGGGGGUUGGAGAGUUUCGGCGGUUGGGGAUGGACUCGCGGCUUAUCAGCUUGUUGGUGGGGUAGUGGCUUACCAAGGCUUUGACGGGUAGCCGGCCUGAGAGGGUGACCGGCCACAUUGGGGCUGAGAUACGGCCCAGACUCCUACGGGGGGCAGCAGUGGGGAAUAUUGCACAAUGGGUGGAAGCCUGAUGCAGCAACGCCGUGUGCGGGAUGACGGCCUUCGGGUUGUAAACCGCUUUCGCUCAUGACGAAGCUUUGUGUGACGGUAGUGGGUAAAGAAGCACCGGCUAACUACGUG
This 467-nucleotide ribosomal RNA is filed under the name uncultured bacterium. RNAcentral describes it as "partial 16S ribosomal RNA". It matches the Rfam family "Bacterial small subunit ribosomal RNA", at positions 28 to 507 of the family's 1533-position model. The record is from RNAcentral.